CAGCGACGCCGCGUGAGGGAUGACGGCCUUCGGGUUGUAAACCUCUUUCACCAGGGACGAAGCGCGAGUGACGGUACCUGGAGAAGAAGCACCGGCCAACUACGUGCCAGCAGCCGCGGUAAUA
RNAcentral lists this ribosomal RNA (124 nucleotides) under uncultured soil bacterium. Its description in RNAcentral is "partial 16S ribosomal RNA". It matches the Rfam family "Bacterial small subunit ribosomal RNA", at positions 389 to 525 of the family's 1533-position model. The record is from RNAcentral.